This 839-nucleotide ribosomal RNA is filed under the name uncultured archaeon. Its description in RNAcentral is "bacterial SSU rRNA". It matches the Rfam family "Archaeal small subunit ribosomal RNA", at positions 21 to 859 of the family's 1478-position model. The record is from RNAcentral.
AGGUUACUGCUAUCGGUGUUCGCCUAAGCCAUGCGAGUCAUAUGUUCUUCGUGAACAUGGCGUACUGCUCAGUAACACGUGGAUAACCUGCCCUUGGGUCCGGCAUAACCCCGGGAAACUGGGGAUAAUUCCGGAUAACGCACAUAUGCUGGAAUGCUUUAUGCGUCAAAUGGAUUCGUCCGCCCAAGGAUGGGUCUGCGGCCUAUCAGGUAGUAGUGGGUGUAAUGUACCUACUAGCCUACGACGGGUACGGGUUGUGAGAGCAAGAGCCCGGAGAUGGAUUCUGAGACAUGAAUCCAGGCCCUACGGGGCGCAGCAGGCGCGAAAACUUUACAAUGCGGGAAACCGUGAUAAGGGGACACCGAGUGCCAGCAUCAUAUGCUGGCUGUCCGGGUGUGUAAAAUACACCUGUUAGCAAGGGCCGGGCAAGACCGGUGCCAGCCGCCGCGGUAACACCGGCGGCCCGAGUGGUGAUCGUGAUUAUUGGGUCUAAAGGGUCCGUAGCCGGUUUGGUCAGUCCUCCGGGAAAUCUGACGGCUUAACCGUUAGGCUUUCGGGGGAUACUACCAGACUUGGAACCGGGAGAGGUAAGAGGUACUACAGGGGUAGGAGUGAAAUCUUGUAAUCCCUGUGGGACCACCUGUGGCGAAGGCGUCUUACCAGAACGGGUUCGACGGUGAGGGGCGAAAGCUGGGGGCACGAACCGGAUUAGAUACCCGGGUAGUCCCAGCCGUAAAUGAUGCUCGCUAGGUGUCAGGCAUGGCGCGACCGUGUCUGGUGCCGCAGGGAAGCCGUGAAGCGAGCCACCUGGGAAGUACGGCCGCAAGGCUGAAACUUAA